AUUGAGAGUUUGAUCCUGGCUCAGGACGAACGCUGGCGGCGUGCUUAACACAUGCAAGUCGAGCGAUGAAGUUCCUUCGGGAACGGAUUAGCGGCGGACGGGUGAGUAACACGUGGGUAACCUGCCUCAUAGAGGGGAAUAGCCUUUCGAAAGGAAGAUUAAUACCGCAUAAGAUUGUAGUGCCGCAUGGCAUAGCAAUUAAAGGAGUAAUCCGCUAUGAGAUG
This 224-nucleotide ribosomal RNA is filed under the name Clostridium beijerinckii. Its description in RNAcentral is "partial 16S ribosomal RNA". It matches the Rfam family "Bacterial small subunit ribosomal RNA", at positions 1 to 227 of the family's 1533-position model. Lineage: Bacteria; Bacillati; Bacillota; Clostridia; Eubacteriales; Clostridiaceae. The record is from RNAcentral.